GAUGAACGCUGGCGGCGUGCCUAAUACAUGCAAGUCGAGCGAACGGACGAGAAGCUUGUUUUUCUGAUGUUAGCGGCGGACGGGUGAGUAACACGUGGAUAACCUACCUAUAAGACUGGGAUAACUUCGGGAAACCGGAGCUAAUACCGGAUAAUAUUUUGAACCGCAUGGUUCAAAAGUGAAAGACGGUCUUGCUGUCACUUAUAGAUGGAUCCGCGCUGCAUUAGCUAGUUGGUAGGGUAACGGCUUACCAAGGCAACGAUGCAUAGCCGACCUGAGAGGGUGAUCGGCCACACUGGAACUGAGACACGGUCCAGACUCCUACGGGAGGCAGCAGUAGGGAAUCUUCCGCAAUGGGCGAAAGCCUGACGGAGCAGCGCCGCGUGAGUGAUGAAGGUCUUCGGAUCGUAAAACUCUGUUAUUAGGGAAGAACAUAUGUGUAAGUAACUGUGCACAUCUUGACGGUACCUAAUCAGAAAGCCACGGCUAACUACGUG
RNAcentral lists this ribosomal RNA (497 nucleotides) under uncultured bacterium. Its description in RNAcentral is "partial 16S ribosomal RNA". It matches the Rfam family "Bacterial small subunit ribosomal RNA", at positions 28 to 507 of the family's 1533-position model. The record is from RNAcentral.